This 307-nucleotide unclassified non-coding RNA is filed under the name uncultured Hebeloma. RNAcentral describes it as "sequence contains ITS2". The stretch from base 1 to 52 matches the Rfam family "5.8S ribosomal RNA", at positions 103 to 154 of the family's 154-position model. Lineage: Eukaryota; Fungi; Basidiomycota; Agaricomycetes; Agaricales; Cortinariaceae. The record is from RNAcentral.
AACGCACCUUGCGCUCCUUGGUAUUCCGAGGAGCAUGCCUGUUUGAGUGUCAUUAAAUUCUCAACUAUUAUCAGCUUUUGCUGAUGAUGGCUUGGAUAUGGGGGUUUAUUUUGCUGGCUUCACAGAAUGUCAGCUCCCCUUAAAUGCAUUAGCCGGUGCCCCGCGUGGACUGUCUAUUGGUGUGAUAAUUAUCUACGCCGUGGACAUCUACAAUCAUAUGGGUUUGCGCUGCUCCCAACCGUCUGUUUACUCAGACAAUACAUGACAAUUUGACCUCAAAUCAGGUAGGACUACCCGCUGAACUUAA